AUUGUCGUAAUCUGAUCACCAUCGAGAGAGUCUGAUCAUCAUGAUAUAGUCACACAGUAUAUUUGGCCUCUGCGGACCAUCCACAUGAAGCUCCCGGUCUGAUCGACUCCUCAUGAGUGCUAGCUCGUUGUAGAGCCCUUUUGACGGUCGAUGCUGAUCGAACUCCUUUGAUCAAUGUCUGUCGAUUCUUUGGAUGCUC
RNAcentral lists this long non-coding RNA (199 nucleotides) under Elaeis guineensis (African oil palm). RNAcentral's name for it is "long non-coding RNA (EGUI_LNC081940)". The record is from RNAcentral. Lineage: Eukaryota; Viridiplantae; Streptophyta; Magnoliopsida; Arecales; Arecaceae.